AGAGUUUGAUCCUGGCUCAGAGCGAACGCUGGCGGCAGGCUUAACACAUGCAAGUCGAGCGGGCGUAGCAAUACGUCAGCGGCAGACGGGUGAGUAACGCGUGGGAACGUACCUUUUGGUUCGGAACAACACAGGGAAACUUGUGCUAAUACCGGAUAAGCCCUUACGGGGAAAGAUUUAUCGCCGAAAGAUCGGCCCGCGUCUGAUUAGCUAGUUGGUGAGGUAAUGGCUCACCAAGGCGACGAUCAGUAGCUGGUCUGAGAGGAUGAUCAGCCACAUUGGGACUGAGACACGGCCCAAACUCCUACGGGAGGCAGCAGUGGGGAAUAUUGGACAAUGGGCGCAAGCCUGAUCCAGCCAUGCCGCGUGAGUGAUGAAGGCCCUAGGGUUGUAAAGCUCUUUUGUGCGGGAAGAUAAUGACGGUACCGCAAGAAUAAGCCCCGGCUAACUUCGUGCCAGCAGCCGCGGUAAUACGAAGGGGGCUAGCGUUGCUCGGAAUCACUGGGCGUAAAGGGUGCGUAGGCGGGUCUUUAAGUCAGGGGUGAAAUCCUGGAGCUCAACUCCAGGACUGCCUUUGAUACUGAGGAUCUUGAGUUCGGGAGAGGUGAGUGGAACUGCGAGUGUAGAGGUGAAAUUCGUAGAUAUUCGCAAGAACACCAGUGGCGAAGGCGGCUCACUGGCCCGAUACUGACGCUGAGGCACGAAAGCGUGGGGAGCAAACAGGAUUAGAUACCCUGGUAGUCC
This 744-nucleotide ribosomal RNA is filed under the name uncultured bacterium. Its description in RNAcentral is "bacterial SSU rRNA". It matches the Rfam family "Bacterial small subunit ribosomal RNA", at positions 8 to 796 of the family's 1533-position model. The record is from RNAcentral.